GUACACAAAAAUGCACAUAUUGUGAGCUCGAUGAGUAGGGCGGGACACGUGGUAUCCUGUCUGAAUAUGGGGGGACCAUCCUCCAAGGCUAAAUACUCCUGACUGACCGAUAGUGAACCAGUACCGUGAGGGAAAGGCGAAAAGAACCCCGGCGAGGGGAGUGAAAAAGAACCUGAAACCGUGUACGUACAAGCAGUGGGAGCCUCUUAAUGGGGUGACUGCGUACCUUUUGUAUAAUGGGUCAGCGACUUAUAUUCUGUAGCAAGGUUAACCGAAUAGGGGAGCCGAAGGGAAACCGAGUCUUAACUGGGCGUUAAGUUGCAGGGUAUAGACCCGAAACCCGGUGAUCUAGCCAUGGGCAGGUUGAAGGUUGGGUAACACUAACUGGAGGACCGAACCGACUAAUGUUGAAAAAUUAGCGGAUGACUUGUGGCUGGGGGUGAAAGGCCAAUCAAACCGGGAGAUAGCUGGUUCUCCCCGAAAGCUAUUUAGGUAGCGCCUCGUGAAUUCAUCUCCGGGGGUAGAGCACUGUUUCGGCAAGGGGGUCAUCCCGACUUACCAACC
This 564-nucleotide ribosomal RNA is filed under the name Escherichia coli. RNAcentral's name for it is "partial 23S ribosomal RNA". It matches the Rfam family "Bacterial large subunit ribosomal RNA", at positions 375 to 944 of the family's 2925-position model. The record is from RNAcentral. Lineage: Bacteria; Pseudomonadati; Pseudomonadota; Gammaproteobacteria; Enterobacterales; Enterobacteriaceae.